Molecule: ribosomal RNA, 532 nt
Filed under: Clonostachys rosea
Lineage: Eukaryota; Fungi; Ascomycota; Sordariomycetes; Hypocreales; Bionectriaceae
Description: eukaryotic LSU rRNA
Rfam family: 5.8S ribosomal RNA (bases 163-316)
Source: RNAcentral
CAUUACCGAGUUUACAACUCCCAAACCCAUGUGAACAUACCUACUGUUGCUUCGGCGGGAUUGCCCCGGGCGCCUCGUGUGCCCCGGAUCAGGCGCCCGCCUAGGAACCUUAACUCUUGUUUUAUUUUGGAAUCUUCUGAGUAGUUUUUACAAAUAAAUAAAAACUUUCAACAACGGAUCUCUUGGUUCUGGCAUCGAUGAAGAACGCAGCGAAAUGCGAUAAGUAAUGUGAAUUGCAGAAUUCAGUGAAUCAUCGAAUCUUUGAACGCACAUUGCGCCCGCCAGUAUUCUGGCGGGCAUGCCUGUCUGAGCGUCAUUUCAACCCUCAUGCCCCUAGGGCGUGGUGUUGGGGAUCGGCCAAAGCCCGCGAGGGACGGCCGGCCCCUAAAUCUAGUGGCGGACCCGUCGUGGCCUCCUCUGCGAAGUAGUGAUAUUCCGCAUCGGAGAGCGACGAGCCCCUGCCGUUAAACCCCCAACUUUCCAAGGUUGACCUCAGAUCAGGUAGGAAUACCCGCUGAACUUAAGCAUAUCA